Peromyscus maniculatus bairdii (prairie deer mouse) is the source of this 1930-nucleotide non-coding RNA. The record is from RefSeq and is a predicted model, not a curated record. NCBI's taxonomy places the organism in Eukaryota, Metazoa, Chordata, Mammalia, Rodentia, Cricetidae.
CAGGCAGACUGCACCCGAAUGGACUAAGCCUCCUGAAGUCACCGGCAGGUACAGAAGAAACACACAAGCGACCCCAGAACACUUGGAACUAACAGAAAUACAAAGACGGAAGGGGAAAGCAGCCAUAAUCCCAGAAAAAUGGCUGCUGACAUAUUGCCCUUGGAGUAUCUGGAUUGCUGUUCAGCCCCGUGAGCAUCGGGAUGACUUCACUCCCCUUUGCAGCUGGCACACCUGGACUCAAUCUUCAGGUCUAGGUUUGGAUGCAGCGCCUCUGAGAAUCCACUUCUUGACUGUGGUCCCCCCCUUUCAGAGCCCUUCAUCAUACAGCAGUCUGCAGUUACAUCACCAUUUGUGUGGUUAUGACAUAAUAUAUCCGUGUCCCUGUUUCUUAGACUAUUUUGUGAAGCUUCGACAGAAUUUCACAGAGUGAUAGUUUUUAAGGAAAAUACAUUUAUUUCUCAUGAUCCUGGUGCCUGGGAAGUCCGAUAUUAAAGUACUGGCAUCUGGCAAGGACGCCAUGCUGCAUCCCCAUCCUGAUGGAAGACGUCAGAUGGUAAAAGAGUCCCUAAGAGGAGGAGGAGGGGAGAACGACCACUGAAGGAGCUGAGCUUGACCCUUAACCAGCUCAGCCCUUGGAUAACUACCUACACAGGGUGAGAGCCUCAGCAAUCUGGAGGGCAUUGCCCGCAUGACCCAGUUCCCCUUUAAAGUCCAACCUCCGAGCGCUGUCACAGAGGCAAUCAACUCUGAACAUGACUUUGGGAUAGGGCCUUUAUUUUGUAACACCCUGAUAGACGCGUCCCAAGGCAGGGCAAGUCCAUUUUGUAAACUGCGGGAUUUGCUCCUGCUGGCAGCCCUCACCUGGCCCCCUUCCUUCCCAGUCCAGCCCCAUGGGUGAAAGUCCAUGAAGUUCAUGGCAUAUAGAGACUGGCAGCUGCUGAGGGCCAGCCUUCAACAACCGGUGUGUAAGACAGGUUCCUAAACUGUCCAGUAAGGUAGACUUCCCGGCAAGCAGGAGCCCUCGGCAUGGCUUUGCUUCUUGGCCUCUGACAUCCGAUGGACAAGUUCACUGUGGACAGAGCCUCUGGCAUUGAACUCCCCGAGGGACCAAAGCUUCCCCAGCAGCCCUGUGCACUGAUCUGCUGCUCUGAGAGACCUUCUCUAAGUUAGAGAAAGGUUUACUUCCCUUAAAACACUCACAAUGCACGCUCAUGUAGCUGUCUUGACUGGUCACAACAACUUUGUGAUGUUCCUGUCAUUGGGGCCAUUUUACAGUUCAGGAAACGGAGGCUCGGGAGUCCCAGCUUGAGCCUCCACCUGCCUUAGACAUGUCUGAGCAAGCCUGAAGAGCUGCAGCGUGGACCUGCUAGGACUGUGGAGCCUCCUGGGAAGAAUGGAGGAGUCAGGCACAACCCAGGCCUGGUAACAGGAUGUUGCAAGCUUCUGGGGAUGGAGCAUGCUCUCCAUGAGGAAUACAGGCUGUGCUGGGCCCAAGUGAGAAAGUGAUCAAUGGCAUGCCCACUGUGUGGCACAAGCCGGUAACGCAACACAAAGGAGGCUGAAGCAGGAUGGUGACAGAAGACUGGGAGGAUCUACACAGCUGGUGAGGUCGCUUUGAUGCCAGACAACAGAUGAAGAAUGACACUUUACGAACGUCUCUUUUUGACUGGGACUACACCAACCUUGAUGGCCUACGGAGGUAGAAAUUUCAUAGGUAACCCCACCUCCAAUCCAGAGCAUACCAGUGGUGACCAGGCCAACAAAUACAUUUGGCGUCUUCCCUGUGGCCAGUUGACGCAUUAUGUCUGCAGAAGCAUGUUCAAUGGGAAGCUGAACCUAGAUCUGAGACAGAAACAAGUGAUGAGCUACUGAAAUCAGUCCACAACCCGGGGACGAAUUGGGAGGCAUGAACAUUGGUUGGUAGCAUAAU